CCUACGGGAGGCUGCAGUGAGGAAUAUUGGUCAAUGGACGAGAGUCUGAACCAGCCAAGUAGCGUGAAGGAUGACUGCCCUAUGGGUUGUAAACUUCUUUUAUAUGGGAAUAAAACGUUCCACGUGUGGGAUUUUGUAUGUACCAUAUGAAUAAGGAUCGGCUAACUCCGUGCCAGCAGCCGCGGUAAUACGGAGGAUCCGAGGGUUAUCCGGAUUUAUUGGGUUUAAAGGGAGCGUAGGUGGUUUGUUAAGUUCGUUGUGAAAGUUUUCGGCUCAACCGUAAAAUUGCAGUUGAAACUGGCAGUCUUGAGUACAGUAGAGGUGGGCGGAAUUCGUGGUGUAGCGGUGAAAUGCUUAGAUAUCACGAAGAACUCCGAUUGCGAAGGCAGUUCACUGGACUGCAACUGACACUGAGGCGCGAAAGUGUGGGUAUCAAACAGGAUUAGAUACCCGGGUAGUC
This 460-nucleotide ribosomal RNA is filed under the name uncultured bacterium. RNAcentral's name for it is "partial 16S ribosomal RNA". It matches the Rfam family "Bacterial small subunit ribosomal RNA", at positions 338 to 795 of the family's 1533-position model. The record is from RNAcentral.